UAAGAUUCUGUUUGUUUUUGGGAAUCGUACAGGCAUUCGGAAGUAGCACGACAGUGCGGAUUCCGAAUGAAUGAAGAAGUGCGAAAGCUGCCUCAGCGCAGCACUUCUUAUA
This 112-nucleotide unclassified non-coding RNA is filed under the name Butyrivibrio sp. INlla21. RNAcentral describes it as "Clostridiales-1 RNA". Lineage: Bacteria; Bacillati; Bacillota; Clostridia; Lachnospirales; Lachnospiraceae. The record is from RNAcentral.